Crotalus tigris (Tiger rattlesnake) is the source of this 1288-nucleotide long non-coding RNA. RefSeq lists it as uncharacterized. The transcript is spliced from 3 exons. Lineage: Eukaryota; Metazoa; Chordata; Lepidosauria; Squamata; Viperidae. The record is from RefSeq and is a predicted model, not a curated record.
CAUAAAAGAGCCAAGGGUGCCUACCCGACUUAACCCAACCAAAAUUUUGGUAAGCCAAGGACUACCUCAAACGUUCGCUAAUGUUUGUCUCUUAAUAGUCUAUGCUUUCAGAAUAAGGUUACUAAGAAUGACAAGAUCUUGAAUUAGAUUAAUCAUACUAUUAUACUUAACUUUACAAAGCUUUUCUUAUAUUAAAUAAAUGUAGCCGUCACUCCUCCCAAAAGACAGAAACAUAAUCUCCUUUUUCUCUUAUUUAUAUAAGAGCUUAGCUCUUUGAAAUUAAAAACUGACUUGAAUGGGACAAACAUUUGGAGUCUGUUCAGCAUGUCCAACAGAUACCAAGGACUAGCUCCAAACAGGGGUAUUAAUAGAACUAAGCCUCAGAGAGGAAUGGUCACUCUCAUACCUCAGAGCUUCUAGAACAAAGAAUUUAUUCCAGUGGAAAGCAACACAUAGAUCAUGCUGACCAAAUUAAACUAUUGUAAACUACAAUCAGUUGCGCAGCAAGAAUUGAAGAUAAUAUGAUCUACUAAGGGAGAGAGUAAAGCCUUAGAAAAACAACUGGAUGCCAGAGAAAUGCAAGAAACUUUAGAAUAUAUUGAAAAUAAAGCAGCUUCCAACUGAAGCCUCUCAGUAAGUCUGUGGGAAAAAUUAAAAAAUCACCAUGAAAGUAAGAAGAAGUACUAAUCCAGACAGAAGCAACAAUACAAAAAAAGCAAGAAGCCCAGAUUAAACAUAUGCAUGACAAAGUGGCUACUGGUCAUCGCACACCCAAUCUACUGGAAGAAAGAAAACUGCAUAUAAAGUUUUAUGGAAAAUCAAAAGCUGGAUCCAGUUCCGUAGUCCUAUGGCUAGUGCUUUUAAAAAUUCAAGAUGAAAUUGGACAAGCAGACAUAAGCAGCAGGCAUACCCAGAAUCUUUGUGUCUGUUCCACAAUCUGAAGAAGUCUGAAAACCAUCUGAUUUGGAGCCCUACUUUUCCCCAAAGAAAAUUCAGAAUCUCUUUGGAAAGAAGCACAAUCAGAUACAAUGAUCUGUUCUACAUAGUCCUCAAGAAAAAGGCAGAGCUGCGAUCAGUACAAAGAAAGAUCAAGUUAUCGCACCUAGAGAAAGAGAAUACUCCAAAAGACCAACAACGGAUGUAGGAUUUUUGGAGCCUUCCUUUAUAAAGUAGUGGAAGCAGCCUGCGAGGCUGAAGAGGCCACUUUCCUGCAGAAGCAAAGAGCACGCCAACGAAACAGAGAAGGGCUACACGCACUUCACACUCGAUUAAAAGCCCAUCUUCUUUC